CAGCCGCCGCGGGAAUACAGAGGAUGCAAGCGUUAUCCGGAAUGAUUGGGCGUAAAGCGUCUGUAGGUGGCUUUUCAAGUCCGCCGUCAAAUCCCAGGGCUCAACCCCGGAACUGCCUUUGAUACUGGGAGUCUUGAGUUCGAGAGAGGUGAGUGGAAUUGCGAGUGUAGAGGUGAAAUUCGUAGAUAUUCGGAAGAACACCAGUGGCGAAGGCGGCUCACUGGACGACUGUUGACGCUGAGGUGCGAAAGCGUGGGGAGCAAACAGGAUUAGAUACCCGAGUAGUCCCUGUCUCUUAUAC
This 301-nucleotide ribosomal RNA is filed under the name uncultured bacterium. RNAcentral's name for it is "partial 16S ribosomal RNA". It matches the Rfam family "Bacterial small subunit ribosomal RNA", at positions 509 to 807 of the family's 1533-position model. The record is from RNAcentral.